This 484-nucleotide ribosomal RNA is filed under the name uncultured bacterium. Its description in RNAcentral is "partial 16S ribosomal RNA". It matches the Rfam family "Bacterial small subunit ribosomal RNA", at positions 30 to 507 of the family's 1533-position model. The record is from RNAcentral.
AUUGAACGCUGGCGGCAGGCCUAACACAUGCAAGUCGAGCGGAUGAAGGGAGCUUGCUCCUGGAUUCAGCGGCGGACGGGUGAGUAAUGCCUAGGAAUCUGCCUGGUAGUGGGGGAUAACGUCCGGAAACGGGCGCUAAUACCGCAUACGUCCUGAGGGAGAAAGUGGGGGAUCUUCGGACCUCACGCUAUCAGAUGAGCCUAGGUCGGAUUAGCUAGUUGGUGGGGUAAAGGCCUACCAAGGCGACGAUCCGUAACUGGUCUGAGAGGAUGAUCAGUCACACUGGAACUGAGACACGGUCCAGACUCCUACGGGAGGCAGCAGUGGGGAAUAUUGGACAAUGGGCGAAAGCCUGAUCCAGCCAUGCCGCGUGUGUGAAGAAGGUCUUCGGAUUGUAAAGCACUUUAAGUUGGGAAGAAGGGAAGUAAGUUAAUACCUUGCUGUUUUGACGUUACCAACAGAAUAAGCACCGGCUAACUUCGUG